UUAAUUACAUGGUUUUUAGAGCUACUUACCUAUGGAUUGAUUCAAUUGCUUUCACGUAUCAUAAGCUUAGGUAGAUAGCUUUUAGCUAACAUUCAUUUGAUAAACAUAUAGUGUUUCAAAAAUUUUCUGACUUAUGUAAGUAUUCUUUCAUUUUAAAGGAGAAGAAAUAUUCUAAUUUUACAUUUAUUAAGAAUAUUUUCGCUACUGAAAUUGUAACUUUUAAAAAAUUGAGGUAAAUGGAAUAAUGGUCUAUAAUUUUUUUAGUUUCUAAAGAUUAUUUUCUUUGGAAAAAUCUCAAGAUUUUUGGAUGGGCAAGAAAUUUAAAGUAAUUUCUUUAAUUGUUUUAAAAUUAGACCAUAGCACAGUGGCGGAAGUCAGGAUACCAGGACAUGCCUGAAUAUGAAAAUUUCCGCCACCUUCUGCAAGCCCCAGUGGAUGAUGCACAGGAAAUUCUUCACUCCAGAUUUCCAAUGCCAAGAUACAUUGACACUGAACAUGGAGGCAGCCAGGCCCGUUUCCUUCUUUCAAAAGUCAACCCUUCACAGACUCAUAAUAAUAUGUAUGCCUGGGGGCAGGAGUCUGGAGCACCUAUUCUUACAGAUGAUGUUAGUUUACAAGUGUUUAUGGAUCACUUGAAGAAACUUGCUGUGUCCAGUGCUGCUUGAAGUGCUAAACAUGUUAAAGACACUUAAGAAGAUGA
Molecule: small RNA, 700 nt
Filed under: Pongo abelii (Sumatran orangutan)
Lineage: Eukaryota; Metazoa; Chordata; Mammalia; Primates; Hominidae
Description: retained intron
Source: RNAcentral